Molecule: ribosomal RNA, 232 nt
Filed under: uncultured bacterium
Lineage: Bacteria
Description: partial 16S ribosomal RNA
Rfam family: Bacterial small subunit ribosomal RNA
Source: RNAcentral
CGGACGGGUGAGUAAUGUCUGGGAAACUGCCUGAUGGAGGGGGAUAACUACUGGAAACGGUAGCUAAUACCGCAUAACGUCGCAAGACCAAAGAGGGGGACCUCCGGGCCUCUUGCCAUCGGAUGUGCCCAGAUGGGAUUAGCUAGUAGGUGGGGUAACGGCUCACCUAGGCGACGAUCCCUAGCUGGUCUGAGAGGAUGACCAGCCACACUGGAACUGAGACACGGUCCAG